GCGGGUUCGGCUGAUGGAGAAACUGAGGCAAAGGGUAGAACCCCUCUGCGCCGCAACCCUGUGAGCAAGGCGAAGUCCCAGGGUGGUGUCCUUGCCUACAAAAUCCAUCAUGGCACAUCACUGUGUCUACGUUUUGGCAUGCCCUUCCUCUUAACACACAACCUGGAAGGAGAGAGAGAGACAGCAUGAGCAGGGGAGGAGCAGAGAGAGAGGGAGACACAGAUUCCAAAGCAGGCUCCAGGCUCUGAGCUGUCAGCACAGAGCCCGACGUGGGGCUCGAACCCACGAACUGUGAGAUCAUGACCUGAGCCGAAGCCGGACGCUCAACUGACUGAGCCACCCAGGCACCCCGACCUCUUCUAAUCUUUUUGUCAAGUUGAGAAAGGUAUGCAAAAAUGAAACAAACAUCCUUAUUCCUACCACUCACAGUUAACAUUGUCAACAGAUUGUUCACAGACAAGGCUGGGUGCUUCAGUGGAUAUAAGAAUCCCUUGCAUUAAUUUCCUCACCCUCCUGGCUUAGCUGUAUAUGACAAAAAGAAUACCCAGUUUGAAUACAUUGGAAAAAAGAAACAAUCCUGGAAUUUUUUAGCUGAUGUACAUCUAAGCAUAGGUGAGUCUAAGGGCUCAAAAAAUGUCAUCAGACUCAAUUUCUCUCCACCUCUUCUCUGCUGUCUUUUGUAUAUAGGCUUCCGCCUUAGACUGAUUCUCCAAAGUCCCAGUCUUCCUGGUUCAAGUCCCCCAGAAGGAGAGAUUCUCUCUUUCCCACAGUGCUUACAAAAGUCAUGGGUUUGAGUAUCAUUGGAUUGAUUUGGACCAGGUGUGCAUCCCUGAGCUGUCCCUGUGACUAUAUGGGAUGAAAUAAACUGAUUGGUCAGGCCUGAGAUUAAUCUCAUCCAAACCAUAAUGGAUGGACAAUGUUUGAAGGGUGGUUGUAUCGUGGAAAAUCAGGGUGCCCCUUCCAGAAGAAGGAGGAAUAGAUCCUGGGUGAGCAAAAAAGUAUGCAUAUCCCUACCUGUCGACAACCUGCCACUGGAACGAGCAUUGGAUACGGAGUCCAACAGACUCACAUUCCCAUUCUGGUUCAAAUAUUUGAUAGUCACAUAAGUUAUUUAAAAUCUGAGUUUCAGUUUUUAAUCAGAGAGAGAUGCUAAUAUUCUUAUGGGUUUGUUGUGAAGGUCAAGUGGAAUAACACAGGUGAGGACACCUAACAAAAUAAUGGGCCUGGACAGCCUAACGUUUGCAAAUUUCCUUUUUGCUAUUAAUUCAAGCCUCUUUGAAGCAUCCAGGGGCAAGUUCACCUUUCUUGCAAAAAAAAAAAAAGUGAGUUAAUAAUUAUCACACUUGUUAGCACCUAUUGUUUGCUGUGCACCAUAUGCAUUGUUAGAUAGGACUGUCUCACAAGCCCACACAGACUGGGCUGCACAGCUCCCCAUCUGGCCAAUCACGGAUUCCAAUGAGGAUGGCGCCCCCUGGGGGUGGCAAUGCAGCAGUCCUAUUUACAGGUACUAAGUCAGUCCUCAUUGGUCCUGUGAAGAUGGUAUUAUUAACCCAUUUUACAAAGACCUUUGUAACUUAGGUUAAGGAACUUGCCUAAUGUCAUUUAAUGGCUAAGUGACACGAACCAAUGGAAACUGUACCCUUCGGAGAUACCUUGCUGUGGCAUUAUAAGCAUAAUCUCAGGAUCCACAAUGAGUACAGUCCUCCACUGAGGGGACGGGAGGGGAGGCAGAGGGAGAGGACAGACCAUUUCAUUUUGUAAAACCAUCUCCAACCUCCCCUCCCCACCCCCAAUAAAAAACGCCUACCAGAACCCCGGAGCUGAGAAUAUUGCCAGCUGACUCAUUUACUAUCCCUAGCCUCUAGGAAAGGGACAGAAACAUAAACAGUCUGGAGCAUCUUCUACCUCCUCCAAAUAAUUUGAAGCAAUUAUAGCAAUCGUGAAAUGUGUCAGAUUGACAAGCUUUGGAGCGAUGCAGUUUAUUUAUUUACUCAGUGGAUAAUGCUCUGGAUAUGGUAGCAGAAGUAUCUUCCAGGGUCCUGUCAAAGUCAUAUGGUGCCGUUUCUUGGAUUUUUCAUGUGAAAAUACAUGCUUGUAAUUCUGGAAAGGACUUCAAGCACUUUUGCUCCAACCACGUUGGCCUCAGAGUUAGUUGAGAGAGUUAGAGUGUUAGUUGUCUUCUGUCUCUUAAAAAGGUUUUGAUUAACACCUCUCCGAAGGCCAUGAGUCCUCACAAAGUUGUUUACUUCAAAACAAUAAAUUUGAGAUAUUUUUUAAGAAAAUAUUUUAGGGGCGCCUGAGUGGCUCAGUUGGUUAAGUGCCCAGCUCUUGAUUUCAGCUUAGGUCAUGUUCUCACGUUUCCUGAGUUCAAGCCCUGCAUCAGGCUCUGUGCUGACAGAGUGGAGCCUGCCUGGGAUUCUCUCCCACUCUCUCUGCUCCUCCUCUGCACUCUCA
Molecule: long non-coding RNA, 2454 nt
Organism: Acinonyx jubatus (cheetah)
Lineage: Eukaryota; Metazoa; Chordata; Mammalia; Carnivora; Felidae
Exons: 3
Source: RefSeq, a predicted model, not a curated record